Molecule: ribosomal RNA, 492 nt
Filed under: uncultured bacterium
Lineage: Bacteria
Description: partial 16S ribosomal RNA
Rfam family: Bacterial small subunit ribosomal RNA
Source: RNAcentral
AGUGAACGCUGGCGGUAGGCCUAACACAUGCAAGUCGAACGGCAGCACAGUAAGAGCUUGCUCUUACGGGUGGCGAGUGGCGGACGGGUGAGGAAUACAUCGGAAUCUACUUUUUCGUGGGGGAUAACGUAGGGAAACUUACGCUAAUACCGCAUACGACCUACGGGUGAAAGCAGGGGAUCUUCGGACCUUGCGCGAUUGAAUGAGCCGAUGUCGGAUUAGCUAGUUGGCGGGGUAAAGGCCCACCAAGGCGACGAUCCGUAGCUGGUCUGAGAGGAUGAUAGGCGGCACUGGAACUGAGACAGGGUCCAGACUCCUACGGGAGGCAGCAGUGGGGAAUAUUGGACAAUGGGCGCAAGCCUGAUCCAGCCAUACCGCGUGGGUGAAGAAGGCCUUCGGGUUGUAAAGCCCUUUUGUUGGGAAAGAAAAGCAGCAGGUUAAUACCCCGCUGUUCUGACGGUACCCAAAGAAUAAGCACCGGCUAACUUCGUG